Molecule: ribosomal RNA, 471 nt
Filed under: uncultured organism
Description: partial 16S ribosomal RNA
Rfam family: Bacterial small subunit ribosomal RNA
Source: RNAcentral
CACUCCUACGGGAGGCAGCAGUGAGGAAUAUUGGACAAUGGGUGGAAGCCUGAUCCAGCCAUCCCGCGUGCAGGAAGACGGCCCUAUGGGUUGUAAACUGCUUUUAUCUGGGGAUAAACCUACUUACGUGUAAGUAGCUGAAGGUACCAGAAGAAUAAGCACCGGCUAACUCCGUGCCAGCAGCCGCGGUAAUACGGAGGGUGCAAGCGUUAUCCGGAUUUAUUGGGUUUAAAGGGUCCGUAGGCGGACUGAUAAGUCAGUGGUGAAAUCCGACAGCUUAACUGUCGAACUGCCAUUGAUACUGUUAGUCUUGAGUAAGGUUGAAGUGGCUGGAAUAAGUAGUGUAGCGGUGAAAUGCAUAGAUAUUACUUAGAACACCAAUUGCGAAGGCAGGUCACUAAGUCUUAACUGACGCUGAUGGACGAAAGCGUGGGGAGCGAACAGGAUUAGAAACCCCAGUAGUCCCAUGAU